AGGGUUCGAUUCUGGCUCAGGACGAACGCUGGCGGCAUGCCUAACACAUGCAAGUCAACGGGGGUAGCAAUACCCUAGUGGGCGAACGGGUGAGUAACACAUAAGCAAUCUGCCCUUCACAGGGGGAUAACAGCGGGAAACUGCUGCUAAUACCGCAUAAGACCACGGUACCGCAUGGUACAGGGGUAAAAACGAAUCAGUGGUGAAGGAUGAGCUUAUGUCCCAUUAGCUAGUUGGUGAGAUAACAGCCCACCAAGGCGACGAUGGGUAGCCGACCUGAGAGGGUGAUCGGCCACACUGGAACUGAGACACGGUCCAGACUCCUACGGGAGGCAGCAGUGGGGAAUAUUGGGCAAUGGAGGAAACUUCCUUACCCAGCAAUGCCGCGUGAGUGAAGAAGGUCUUCGGAUUGUAAAGCUCUUUGAUUGGGGACGAAGAAAGUGACGGUACCCAAAGAACAACGCCCCGGCUAACUACGUGCCAGCAGCUGC
RNAcentral lists this ribosomal RNA (491 nucleotides) under uncultured bacterium. Its description in RNAcentral is "bacterial SSU rRNA". It matches the Rfam family "Bacterial small subunit ribosomal RNA", at positions 8 to 518 of the family's 1533-position model. The record is from RNAcentral.